This 183-nucleotide long non-coding RNA is filed under the name Polistes fuscatus (common paper wasp). RNAcentral describes it as "uncharacterized LOC122520125". Lineage: Eukaryota; Metazoa; Arthropoda; Insecta; Hymenoptera; Vespidae. The record is from RNAcentral.
GAACAUUUAGUUUCUUUUUCACCAUUCGAGACGUACUAAUACUCUUCUUCUGCACUAACAACUAACGAGAUUCUUGAUUACGAUUUGCCACGAAUCUCUUAUCUAACAGCAAAUAAGGUAACGAUCUUUUCGUUAAAUUGUAAAAAUGUUAUGAAAAGAAAAGAGUAAGAAAAAGAAGAAGAA